RNAcentral lists this long non-coding RNA (1672 nucleotides) under Citrus sinensis (sweet orange). RNAcentral describes it as "long non-coding RNA (CSIN_LNC003783)". Lineage: Eukaryota; Viridiplantae; Streptophyta; Magnoliopsida; Sapindales; Rutaceae. The record is from RNAcentral.
CAGAAGCCAGCUGUGGGUAAAGAGAAGAAUGUGGAUCUUCACUUUGAUUUGGAAAAGAGUGAUAGGGAUAGUGGUAGCGGUAGUGGUAGCGUAGCUGGCAACAAGCUGCAGCAGCAUGUCCAAAACCAAAAGCAGCAGCAGCAGCAACCUCCAGUCCCUGAGAAAACUGGUAAAGUAAAUGGGUCUUCUUUUUAAAAAAUAAUAAUAAUGAUCUUUGUGAACAUUUUGUUCUCUUGAAAUUUGUCUUGGUUGGUUUGUUAAUAUACUCAUUUUGUAUUUCAGCUCAAUCAAAUUCUUUGCCUCUUCCACUCUCAAUGGCUAGUUGGCCUGGUGCCCUUCCUCCGAUGGGGUACGGAUUAUUGAGAUUCUAUUAAAUGCUCUUGAUGAUUGGGAAUCUGUGUUCAUGUUCUGCUUGCUCUUUAUUGGGGAGAUGACUCUUAGUUUUAUGUGCAGAUACAUGGCACCUUUACAAGGAGUUGUAUCCAUGGAUGGAACUGCUGUCUCUUCUGCUGCUGUACGACAUGUGGUUUCUUUCUUUCUUUUUUGGUUCUUUUCUUUUUUUUGUUUUUGGGGGGGCGGUGUUGUUUAACUACUAAAAACGGGGUGUUUAACUACAAAUGUUUUUAGAUUCAUUUCUUCUCAUAGAAGUUAAAACUUCUUGUGUGCAGCCUCCACAUGUGUUGUUUUCUCAACCUAGACCAAAAAGGUGUGCAACGCAUUGCUACAUUGCUCGGAAUAUACACUACCACCAGCAAUUUACAAAAAUGAAUCCUUUCUGGCCAGCGGCAGCUGGUUCUGCUUCACUUUAUGGCGCCAAGGCAGCGUGCAAUCUCAAUGUUGUGCCUCCCACAGAAUUGCAAGGAAGCUUUUCAGGAAGAGGUGUGAAUACUGUGCCAGAUAAGGGGCAGGGUCUGGCAAUCUUUCCUAGUCAUUCUGGGAAAGAUGGCAAAAGUUCUCAGCCUGCCACCAUUAUGGAUGCUGCACAAAGAAAGCAGGUUUUACUUCAGCAAGCUCUACCACCAGGAGCUCCUAGUAACAUACUGGUAAUAGGUCUUUUCUGCAAUUUAUAAUUCUUGGUUUUUGUUCUUGGAUUUUCUUUAAACAAUGCAUUCUUUGGUUCUGUCAAUUUCAGCACGCGCCAGCUUUUAUCUUUCCUUUGAGCCAGCAACAGGCAGCAGCUGCUGCUGCUGUUCGACCUGGAUCUGUUAAGUCUCCUCCGGCUGCUAGUAGUGCUGUGUCAUCCAGUGCAUUAAAUUGUGCCACAGUUAGUGCUACUGCAACAGCUGGAGCUCCAGCCACAGCAAUGAGCUUCAACUACCCAAAUAUGCCGGCCAAUGAGACCCAGUACCUGGCAAUUUUGCAGAACAGUGGGUACCCAUUCCCAAUUUCUGCACAUGUAGGAGCACCGCCUCCUUAUAGAGGAACUCAUACUCAACCUAUGCCAUUCUUUAAUGGGUCUACUUUCUAUUCUUCUCAAAUGCUUCAUCCUUCACAGCUUCAGCAGCAGCAGCAACUACAGCAACCUUUACCAACUCAGUCACAGCAAAGUCAACAAGGUCAUCAAAACGCAAGCAUUUCCAGUGGCUCCUCUUCGUCCCAUAAACAUUUACAGAAUCAGCAGCAGAGGCCACAUGGCAGUGGCAUCAAUGGUACCAGUAGUACUUUGCAAGGU